Molecule: microRNA precursor, 202 nt
Organism: Oryza sativa Japonica Group (Japanese rice)
Lineage: Eukaryota; Viridiplantae; Streptophyta; Magnoliopsida; Poales; Poaceae
Rfam family: MIR812 microRNA precursor family
Source: Rfam
AAAGACAAAAACCCUGGGUUUCCGUGUCCAACGUUUGACCGUCCAUCUUAUUUGAAAAAAAAAUAUGAAAAAAUUAAAAAGACAAGUCACGCAUAAUAAUCAUGUUUUAUCAUCUAACAACAAUGAAAAUACUAAUUAAAAAAAAUUUCAUACAAGACAGACAGUCAAACGUCAGAUACGGAAACUCAGAGUUUGUCUGUUU